UGUUGGAUAGCUCCGUUGGUAGAGCACGAGACUCUUAAUCUCAGGGUCAUGGGUUCAAGCCCCACAUUGGGCAA
Non-coding RNA from Podarcis lilfordi (Lilford's wall lizard), 74 nucleotides. The record is from the annotation of a GenBank genome assembly. Lineage: Eukaryota; Metazoa; Chordata; Lepidosauria; Squamata; Lacertidae.